This 389-nucleotide ribosomal RNA is filed under the name Lineacoelotes sp. ZZ726. Its description in RNAcentral is "partial 16S ribosomal RNA". Lineage: Eukaryota; Metazoa; Arthropoda; Arachnida; Araneae; Agelenidae. The record is from RNAcentral.
CUCAAUGAAAAUUCAAUAGCCGCAAUAUUUUGUGCUAAGGUAGCAUAAUCAUUUGUUUUUUAAUUAAAAACUAGAAUGAAAGAUUUAACAAUUAUAUUUCUUUCUCACAUAUAAAAAUUUAAUUUAUUUUAAUUAUUAAAAAAUAAUUAUAUAUAAAAAAGACGACAAGACCCUAUUGAACUUAACUAAAGUUUAACUGGGGUAGUUAAUUAAAUACAAUUUUAAUUCAAAUUUAAAAUCAUUCUAAUACAAUUAAAUAAUCAAGUUACCAUAGGGAUAACAGCGUAAUAAUUUCUUCAAGACCUUAUUUAAAAAAUUGUUUACGACCUCGAUGUUGAAUUAAUAAUCUAUUAAAUGAAACAAUUUAAAAAUGAAAGUCUGUUCGACUU